UUCUAAUUUGGCAGAUUAAUUGUAUCAAAUUUAGAAUUUGACUAUGGAACAAUACCAAUUAGUAG
RNAcentral lists this transfer RNA (65 nucleotides) under Proknekalia peringueyi. RNAcentral's name for it is "Argas peringueyi tRNA-Leu". The record is from RNAcentral. Lineage: Eukaryota; Metazoa; Arthropoda; Arachnida; Ixodida; Argasidae.